RNAcentral lists this ribosomal RNA (506 nucleotides) under uncultured Acidobacteriota bacterium. RNAcentral describes it as "bacterial SSU rRNA". It matches the Rfam family "Bacterial small subunit ribosomal RNA", at positions 355 to 853 of the family's 1533-position model. The record is from RNAcentral. Lineage: Bacteria; Pseudomonadati; Acidobacteriota.
UCGGGAAUUUUGGGCAAUGGGCGAAAGCCUGACCCAGCAACGCCGCGUGAAGGAUGAAAUCCCUCGGGAUGUAAACUUCGCAAGAACGGGAAGAAUAAGUAAGAGUUAAUAUCUCUUACGAUGACGGUACUGUUUGUAAGCUCCGGCUAACUCCGUGCCAGCAGCCGCGGUAAUACGGGGGGAGCAAGCGUUGUUCGGAUUUACUGGGCGUAAAGGGCGCGUAGGCGGCCACCGCAAGUCGACUGUGAAAUCUCCGGGCUUAACCCGGAAAGGUCAGCCGAUACUGCGGGGCUAGAGUGCAGAAGGGGCAACUGGAAUUCUCGGUGUAGCGGUGAAAUGCGUAGAUAUCGAGAGGAACACCUGCGGCGAAGGCGGGUUGCUGGGCUGACACUGACGCUGAGGCGCGAAAGCUAGGGGAGCGAACGGGAUUAGAUACCCCGGUAGUCCUAGCCUUAAACGAUGAAUGCUUGGUGUCUGGGGUUUUAUAGUCCCCGGGUGCCGUCGCU